Molecule: ribosomal RNA, 2802 nt
Filed under: Escherichia coli
Lineage: Bacteria; Pseudomonadati; Pseudomonadota; Gammaproteobacteria; Enterobacterales; Enterobacteriaceae
Description: bacterial LSU rRNA
Rfam family: Bacterial large subunit ribosomal RNA
Source: RNAcentral
GGGUUGUGAGGUUAAGCGACUAAGCGUACACGGUGGAUGCCCUGGCAGUCAGAGGCGAUGAAGGACGUGCUAAUCUGCGAUAAGCGUCGGUAAGGUGAUAUGAACCGUUAUAACCGGCGAUUUCCGAAUGGGGAAACCCAGUGUGUUUCGACACACUAUCAUUAACUGAAUCCAUAGGUUAAUGAGGCGAACCGGGGGAACUGAAACAUCUAAGUACCCCGAGGAAAAGAAAUCAACCGAGAUUCCCCCAGUAGCGGCGAGCGAACGGGGAGCAGCCCAGAGCCUGAAUCAGUGUGUGUGUUAGUGGAAGCGUCUGGAAAGGCGCGCGAUACAGGGUGACAGCCCCGUACACAAAAAUGCACAUGCUGUGAGCUCGAUGAGUAGGGCGGGACACGUGGUAUCCUGUCUGAAUAUGGGGGGACCAUCCUCCAAGGCUAAAUACUCCUGACUGACCGAUAGUGAACCAGUACCGUGAGGGAAAGGCGAAAAGAACCCCGGCGAGGGGAGUGAAAAAGAACCUGAAACCGUGUACGUACAAGCAGUGGGAGCACGCUUAGGCGUGUGACUGCGUACCUUUUGUAUAAUGGGUCAGCGACUUAUAUUCUGUAGCAAGGUUAACCGAAUAGGGGAGCCGAAGGGAAACCGAGUCUUAACUGGGCGUUAAGUUGCAGGGUAUAGACCCGAAACCCGGUGAUCUAGCCAUGGGCAGGUUGAAGGUUGGGUAACACUAACUGGAGGACCGAACCGACUAAUGUUGAAAAAUUAGCGGAUGACUUGUGGCUGGGGGUGAAAGGCCAAUCAAACCGGGAGAUAGCUGGUUCUCCCCGAAAGCUAUUUAGGUAGCGCCUCGUGAAUUCAUCUCCGGGGGUAGAGCACUGUUUCGGCAAGGGGGUCAUCCCGACUUACCAACCCGAUGCAAACUGCGAAUACCGGAGAAUGUUAUCACGGGAGACACACGGCGGGUGCUAACGUCCGUCGUGAAGAGGGAAACAACCCAGACCGCCAGCUAAGGUCCCAAAGUCAUGGUUAAGUGGGAAACGAUGUGGGAAGGCCCAGACAGCCAGGAUGUUGGCUUAGAAGCAGCCAUCAUUUAAAGAAAGCGUAAUAGCUCACUGGUCGAGUCGGCCUGCGCGGAAGAUGUAACGGGGCUAAACCAUGCACCGAAGCUGCGGCAGCGACGCUUAUGCGUUGUUGGGUAGGGGAGCGUUCUGUAAGCCUGUGAAGGUGUGCUGUGAGGCAUGCUGGAGGUAUCAGAAGUGCGAAUGCUGACAUAAGUAACGAUAAAGCGGGUGAAAAGCCCGCUCGCCGGAAGACCAAGGGUUCCUGUCCAACGUUAAUCGGGGCAGGGUGAGUCGACCCCUAAGGCGAGGCCGAAAGGCGUAGUCGAUGGGAAACAGGUUAAUAUUCCUGUACUUGGUGUUACUGCGAAGGGGGGACGGAGAAGGCUAUGUUGGCCGGGCGACGGUUGUCCCGGUUUAAGCGUGUAGGCUGGUUUUCCAGGCAAAUCCGGAAAAUCAAGGCUGAGGCGUGAUGACGAGGCACUACGGUGCUGAAGCAACAAAUGCCCUGCUUCCAGGAAAAGCCUCUAAGCAUCAGGUAACAUCAAAUCGUACCCCAAACCGACACAGGUGGUCAGGUAGAGAAUACCAAGGCGCUUGAGAGAACUCGGGUGAAGGAACUAGGCAAAAUGGUGCCGUAACUUCGGGAGAAGGCACGCUGAUAUGUAGGUGAAGUCCCUUGCGGAUGGAGCUGAAAUCAGUCGAAGAUACCAGCUGGCUGCAACUGUUUAUUAAAAACACAGCACUGUGCAAACACGAAAGUGGACGUAUACGGUGUGACGCCUGCCCGGUGCCGGAAGGUUAAUUGAUGGGGUCAGCGCAAGCGAAGCUCUUGAUCGAAGCCCCGGUAAACGGCGGCCGUAACUAUAACGGUCCUAAGGUAGCGAAAUUCCUUGUCGGGUAAGUUCCGACCUGCACGAAUGGCGUAAUGAUGGCCAGGCUGUCUCCACCCGAGACUCAGUGAAAUUGAACUCGCUGUGAAGAUGCAGUGUACCCGCGGCAAGACGGAAAGACCCCGUGAACCUUUACUAUAGCUUGACACUGAACAUUGAGCCUUGAUGUGUAGGAUAGGUGGGAGGCUUGGAAGUGUGGACGCCAGUCUGCAUGGAGCCGACCUUGAAAUACCACCCUUUAAUGUUUGAUGUUCUAACGUUGACCCGUAAUCCGGGUUGCGGACAGUGUCUGGUGGGUAGUUUGACUGGGGCGGUCUCCUCCUAAAGAGUAACGGAGGAGCACGAAGGUUGGCUAAUCCUGGUCGGACAUCAGGAGGUUAGUGCAAUGGCAUAAGCCAGCUUGACUGCGAGCGUGACGGCGCGAGCAGGUGCGAAAGCAGGUCAUAGUGAUCCGGUGGUUCUGAAUGGAAGGGCCAUCGCUCAACGGAUAAAAGGUACUCCGGGGAUAACAGGCUGAUACCGCCCAAGAGUUCAUAUCGACGGCGGUGUUUGGCACCUCGAUGUCGGCUCAUCACAUCCUGGGGCUGAAGUAGGUCCCAAGGGUAUGGCUGUUCGCCAUUUAAAGUGGUACGCGAGCUGGGUUUAGAACGUCGUGAGACAGUUCGGUCCCUAUCUGCCGUGGGCGCUGGAGAACUGAGGGGGGCUGCUCCUAGUACGAGAGGACCGGAGUGGACGCAUCACUGGUGUUCGGGUUGUCAUGCCAAUGGCACUGCCCGGUAGCUAAAUGCGGAAGAGAUAAGUGCUGAAAGCAUCUAAGCACGAAACUUGCCCCGAGAUGAGUUCUCCCUGAC